UUUAACCAGCGCCGUUGAAAAAGCUUAUUAGGAGUUGGCUGUUCACUUUCUCUGGACAAAGCACCACGUCAUGACAGCAACAACUUCUGACCAAUGUCCAAAGUGUUUUCUAUAGCCCACAUGAUGAGAAGAAGAUAUGAUCUCUGCCUCCAGUGAUGUCAAUGCAAAGACUGUUCCAAACACGCACUCCUCACCUGUGUUCCUCUGUGCCCACACUGAGAACCACUUCAUACGGCAAUCGCAUGUCCAUGGGUUGCCAUGGAGGAAGACGUUCUCUAACCAGCUGCAGCCUGAGAAAAUAUCUGCAGGCAGAGUGGUGAGGAGGUUGUCUGACAGGUGGAUAUUUCUUACUGAAGACACCUUGAACACCUGGCUGUGUCUCAGUGUGAUGAAUGUGUCUGGGUGCAGCUGCUGGAGGUGGUUACCCUCCAGAUGGACCAACUGUAGGUUGGUUAGGCCAUAGAAAGCCUCUGGGCUGAUAAACUCAAUGUGAUUACGGUCCAUGUGGAGUCUCAGCAGACUGUCGAGGCCUUUGAAUGUCUCUUUGUUGAUUUCCUUUACUUUAUUAAAGGACAUCUUCAGGACCUAUAAGAAUUCAAAAGUUGGAGAUGAUGUCAAAAGAAUGUCUUGUAUGACUUAGU
Molecule: long non-coding RNA, 641 nt
Organism: Micropterus dolomieu (smallmouth bass)
Lineage: Eukaryota; Metazoa; Chordata; Actinopteri; Centrarchiformes; Centrarchidae
Exons: 4
Source: RefSeq, a predicted model, not a curated record